CCCUUUUGAUCAUUAGAACCAGGAGAAGAAGAAGAGUCAACCUCAAGCAAGGCACGUGGCCUGCGAAUAUAGGGAAGCGUGAUCUUCCCAAGAGCAUCUACAUGAACUUGUUGUUGAUGCUGUUCAGAACUAUUAUUACGGGACUUAGGUUGGUGGUGGUGGUCUUUCAACUGAGAAGGGUAGAAGAGAGUGAUUGCUCUACUAGAUCCAGAAGACUUCUUGGCAAGGCGAGCUUGGUGGUAAUAAUCAUUGACAUAAGGAUCGUUGCUGUGUGAAUUAGAGUGCUGCAUCUUGAGUAUACUCUCUAUUUCCUCUGAAGUCAUGUACUUUGAUCUAAACUGCAAUCCACUCUCGCUUUUCUGACUAGCUGCGUCUGAUGCCUGUUGAGAUAUGCCUUUGUUCUUUCGACUCCUAUGAGAAGACUUAUGCUUGUGUUGUUCCCUAACUUCACCACCCCCAAAAGAGACUUUACGUGAUGGUGAUGGAUAAGACCUGUACAGCUGAGACUGUAGCGCUGCAAGCUGAGCAUACGAUUGUCUCUGCUGGAGAGCCAUCAUAUGUUGCGACAUAAGAUCAAUUCGAGGAGGGAAUUGUUGUUGUUGCGCCAGACUAUGUAAUAAACCAGAAUGAUCUCCGUGGAGAAGACCAGGAUCAGUGACCCAAUGAGGUUGCACAACGUUACCAAGGGUAGGACCACACGAGGCAUAUCUAGCCAAAUUACCACCAUAGUGAGGCCCGUGUGAGGGUCCUGAAAGAUGAAAUCUAGAGUUUGACAGCGGGGAAGGUGGGGUGAAAUUCAUCUGAGAACCGCUGGGAAGAGAAGGAGCGCGGUGGAGGCUUCCAGGUGAAGUCUGCUGAGAUCUGCUGCCUGGCGGGGGAAAGGAGGUGAAAGUUGAUUCUGGUACAAUGAUCGGUUCACUAUUGUAGUGUUGCAACGGUGGUGGCUGCUGAGGGUAAGAGGAUGUCCUGUAUAAAGGUUGUGAAUGAGCAGAUGACUGUGGCUGCGAGGACCAUCUGUUAGCCUCUUGAUCUUGCUCGUCCAACCAGUUUGUGAGCUCUGUAUCGUGAGUCCAAUCGGUGGCAGAAGAACCUAAAGAUGAAGUACAUUCAGGUUAAGAAGAACCCUAAAGGUAUACAGUAUACAGUAGUAAGCAAGUUAAGAAUUAAACUCACUCUCUCUUGAAAAGGAACCAGAUCCUCUGUCACCAAUAACUCCAAGGUGUUUGGGUCCUGUGACAUUUCUAUUUAGCUACACAAAGAAAAUAAGUAGAUUUAGAAUCACUAACAAACAAGAGUUCAAAGCUGAAGAACAAGAACAGGUAUAACAUGGCAGUUAAAGAUAUUAAGAUCACUAAAAAAGCAGUUUUUGCAACAAAAAAGAAGUUAAAAAAACCUUUGCAAAAGUCGUGGCAAGAUCAUCCAUGUCAGAUAAUGACCCUAAACCUGCACCCUGCAAUAAUCAACAUGUAUGUAUUAGUAAAACAUCAUCACGUGGUAGCUUUCAGAAGAGAAAACACAUUACCUCUCCUUUAUUAAACAAGUGAUACUCGUCAUCAUCAGGAGAAGUAUGUCCAAGAACAGGAGCGACCACUUCGUCAUCGUCAAUGCCUCCUAAUGACAUUUCGUCAAGGUUUUGCCCAAAAAACUCAUACUGAGAUGCAUCAAAGAGCUUACUAUUUGAAUCUGCAGAUACAAAACACAGCCAGUUUCAGCAGACAAUGCCACAAACACAUGGACUUAAAGCUCUAAGACUUUCAAUCAAAGGGAUAACAACAACAAAAGCAAAACUCAAAAAAAAAAAAAAAAGAGAGAAGCUUUUUAGUAUUCAAAAAGGUUUGAUCAUUCAUGAAAUUGGAGAACAAGAAGAACAACUACACAAAAAAAAAAAAAACAAAACCCAUACAGACAUAAUCUACAGGAAAACACAAGACCAGACAGAAGACAAUUAGCAUAAAUUUCAUCCCUUUAUGUGCUUUUCUCACUCGUAAAACGAACCACAAAGCAACACGGAUCUCAGCUAACAACACAAAGAGAAGAAAGAAACAUCCUUUCGAUGAGAUAAAAAGGGAGUGACCUGAGGAAGAGCGAACAAAGUUGUACAAGUCCCUGGAAUCAGAUCUCUCCAUGAUCGGAGGAUAAAAAGAGCGAAACUUUAGAAAUUAGAGGAUGCGAGAGAAGGAAGAGAAGUCGUAUUCCUUCGCGCUAGGGUUUUCCCAGAUGGGGACGCGGAGAGAGAGAGAAUGAUCAACCCAUCACAGAUUCAGAGUUGAUCUGACCACCCCUUGCAUGCGACGCAGACUCACUAACGGCCGACGGUUUACGACCAAAGUUUAACAAAUAGUUCCUCUGGUCGUCAUUGGUAUGACGGAGGCUCGCACGUAAAAGCUCAGCGGGCAUUUCUCUCUUUAUCGCCAGCUCCAAAACAUCCGCUGCACUCCCUUGGUUCUGCCUACGGAUCGUCUCAUACUUGCUCCUGCAGUAUUUAGUAAGCAGGUUGAAGAACUCAUUAAACGAGGCUCUCCAUAGGCCAUCAUUAGAGCUCCCAUGGACGGCUCGAGGAACCACCACUACUUCAGCAGCUCUCUCGAGAAGUGAUAUCAAGACAACCGAAGCACCAUCCCCAGAAGAGCUUCCAAUAGGACGCAGAGGUGGCUGCUCUGAAGAACAAACCACAGCUGCAAGGCAAGCACUCAGCGCUCGGAGGUCCAUAGCUUGAACACAGACCGUGACUGCCUUGGCAAGAUUAGCAAUCGUCUCUGCUGCUAGAGUAUCCGAAGGCAAGCCGCCGAAGAGAAACCUCAAGUGGCGGAAUAUAGCCAUACAGACAACUCGAGCAAUCUCAGUGCCUGGAACUAGAAGCUGUAUGUACUUCGUAAGCAUUUUCCGACCCUUUGGAAGAGUUGCUAUACGCAGAAACACAACAUCAUCCUUAGCAGUCAGCCCUGACUUCUGACCGGUUUUGCUGAACGGAUCAGCAAGCUGAAGUGCCGUCGCUAGACCUUCAAGGAGGAUCUGGCGUUUUCUCUUCACCUGAGCGCCUCCGUCUUGAGGCCUUGUGGACUGGAGAGUCCUGUCAAUGUCAACUAUGUCGAUAAGAACUCCUAGAGCAUCUUCAAUUGUAACCCUAGCUGCCACAAGUGGUUCCUGCUCCAAAUGUUUCCCUGAGCCCUUUUGAUCAUUAGAACCAGGAGAAGAAGAAGAGUCAACCUCAAGCAAGGCACGUGGCCUGCGAAUAUAGGGAAGCGUGAUCUUCCCAAGAGCAUCUACAUGAACUUGUUGUUGAUGCUGUUCAGAACUAUUAUUACGGGACUUAGGUUGGUGGUGGUGGUCUUUCAACUGAGAAGGGUAGAAGAGAGUGAUUGCUCUACUAGAUCCAGAAGACUUCUUGGCAAGGCGAGCUUGGUGGUAAUAAUCAUUGACAUAAGGAUCGUUGCUGUGUGAAUUAGAGUGCUGCAUCUUGAGU
Molecule: long non-coding RNA, 3463 nt
Filed under: Brassica napus (rape)
Lineage: Eukaryota; Viridiplantae; Streptophyta; Magnoliopsida; Brassicales; Brassicaceae
Description: long non-coding RNA (BNAP_LNC017664)
Source: RNAcentral